Long non-coding RNA from Brassica napus (rape), 484 nucleotides. RefSeq lists it as uncharacterized. The record is from RefSeq and is a predicted model, not a curated record. NCBI's taxonomy places the organism in Eukaryota, Viridiplantae, Streptophyta, Magnoliopsida, Brassicales, Brassicaceae. The transcript is spliced from 3 exons.
UGCAAACGGUUUGUACUAAGAUUCUCUAUUUUCAGCUAUCUUUAAAUAUGGUAACUUGGGAUGAUCAUCUCCUGACAGCUCGUCUGUGGAGGACUAGCGGGAUCUGCUGCUGCCUUUUUCACAACCCCGUUGAUGUAGUGAAAACAAGAUUACAAACUCAGAUUCCUGGAUCUAAGACCCAACAUCCUAGUGUGUAUCAAGCUCUUCAAUCAAUACGGAAACGAGAAGGCCACGAGGGCUAUACAGAGGUUUGAUCCCCAGACUGGUGAUGUACAUGUCCCAAGGAGCUAUAUUCUUUGCUUCAUAUGAAUUUUACAAGAGUAUACUCUCUCUAGAAGAUCUCUCAGCUCGCUGGCACAAAACAAAAGAUGGAGAUAACCCUAACCCAUUAUAGGACAAAGAUUGUAAUACUUUAAGCAUUACCAUUUUUGGGCUAUCUAACUAUUGAUUUGAUGAAAAUUCAUUUGUUCAAAGUACUUUUUUU